Molecule: long non-coding RNA, 853 nt
Organism: Chenopodium quinoa (quinoa)
Lineage: Eukaryota; Viridiplantae; Streptophyta; Magnoliopsida; Caryophyllales; Amaranthaceae
Exons: 3
Source: RefSeq, a predicted model, not a curated record
CAAAUUCGAAUCAAUUUUGAACCAAAAAUCAGAAAUUCGAGACAGUAGACCUAAGCUGGUUGCUGGAUCACCUGAAGGAUACUCUGGACAUGUUGAUGGGAAGUACAGGGAAGCGAGGUUAAACCAUCCGAAAGGUGUUGCUGUUGAUGACAGGGGGAAUAUUUAUGUCGCGAAUACUAUGAAUAUGGCAAUCAGGAAGAUUAGUGAUCCAAGUAUUUCGGAGACUCGUGUAUGCUACAUUGAGUAGAUUAUUGCCAAAUUGUCCAUUGAGGAUAUGAAAAACACAUUGGAAUUAGGAUGGAACGAUAAUUCGUGUGAUUGAACUCCUUUCCAUUUGGAAAUAGUCUUGUAUGAAGCUGAUAAUAGGAUGGUAGAUUGAAGAGCUUAUAAUAGCAAAGAGCUUAUAAUAAUUAAAUGUCCUGAUUUAUUAGUAGAAUGUGAUAUUUUUCAAUCCUGUUUCUACUGAAUGAUUAUGGGAUGAGCUCAAAGCUGACUUGUUAAGUGCAGAGUAUCUAGACUAAUCGUACUAUAUGUUUCAAGAGUCACAACAAUUGCUGGUGGGAAAUGGAGUAACAGAGGUGGUCAUGUUGAUGGACCGAGUGAUGAAGCAAAGUUCUCCAAUGACUUUGAUGUUGUCUAUGUUGGAAGCAGUUGUUCCUUGCCGGUCAUUGAUAGGGGGAAUCGGGCAAUCAGGGAAAUUCAUCAAGAAAGUUUGGAGGAAAAACUAGGAAAUAAAUUUCCAAUGCUAAAAUCUUGCUCUCAAGAAAACUUACAAAAAGCAGGCAGAUCACAUGCUUUAGUAUCUAUACUAAAGGAAAACUCAUCUUUAAUACAUAACCCUAAGGUAUUUCUA